UCAGCCGGCCGGGCAACCGCGCUUCGGACCUCGGUCCGCGGUGAGGAAAGUCCGGGCUCCACGGAAACACGGUGCCGGAUAACAUCCGGCGGGGGCGACCCCAGGGAAAGUGCCACAGAAAGCAAACCGCCCCGCCUGUAUUCCGGUUCUGUCGCGGACCGGAAUACCGGCGGGGUAAGGGUGAAAGGGUGGGGUAAGAGCCCACCGCGUUGCUGGCAACAGGAACGGCAUUGCAAACCCCACCGGGAGCAAGACCGAAUAGGGGUGGCGAGGACGCAAGUCCGGGCCCGUUUCCGGGUCGUCGCCCGGGUUGGUCGCUAGAGGCAGGAUGCAAAUCCUGUCCCAGAGGAAUGGUUGCCACGCAAUUCCAUAUCCAUGGCGUUGCCAUACAGAACCCGGCUUACAGGCCGGCUGACGCU
RNAcentral lists this RNase P RNA (419 nucleotides) under Flavimaribacter sediminis. RNAcentral's name for it is "RNase P RNA component class A". It matches the Rfam family "Bacterial RNase P class A". Rfam says of the family: Ribonuclease P (RNase P) is a ubiquitous endoribonuclease, found in archaea, bacteria and eukarya as well as chloroplasts and mitochondria. Its best characterised activity is the generation of mature 5'-ends of tRNAs by cleaving the 5'-leader elements of precursor-tRNAs. The record is from RNAcentral. Lineage: Bacteria; Pseudomonadati; Pseudomonadota; Alphaproteobacteria; Hyphomicrobiales; Rhizobiaceae.